GAGUUUGAUCCUGACUCAGAUUGAACGCUGGCGGCGUGCCUAACACAUGCAAGUCGAGCGGCAGCGCGGGGCAACCUGGCGGCGAGCGGCGGACGGGUGAGCAAUAUUUGGGAAUCUGCCUAUUAGUGGGGGAUAACCCGGGGAAACUCGGGCUAAUACCGCAUACGAUCUACGGAUGAAAGCCGGGGACCGCAAGGCCUGGCGCUAAUAGAUGAGCCCAAAUCGGAUUAGCUAGUUGGUGAGGUAAUGGCUCACCAAGGCGACGAUCCGUAGCUGGUUUGAGAGAACGACCAGCCACGCCGGAACCGAGACACGGUCCAGACUCCUACGGGAGGCAGCAGUGGGGAAUAUUGGACAAUGGGCGCAAGCCUGAUCCAGCCAUGCCGCGUGUGUGAAGAAGGCCUUC
This 406-nucleotide ribosomal RNA is filed under the name uncultured Gammaproteobacteria bacterium. Its description in RNAcentral is "bacterial SSU rRNA". It matches the Rfam family "Bacterial small subunit ribosomal RNA", at positions 9 to 419 of the family's 1533-position model. Lineage: Bacteria; Pseudomonadati; Pseudomonadota; Gammaproteobacteria. The record is from RNAcentral.